UAACAAGGAUUCCCCUAGUAACGGCGAGCGAAGCGGGAAGAGCUCAAAUUUGAAAGCUGGCACCUUCGGUGUCCGCGUUGUAAUCUCGAGACGUGUUUUCCGUGUGGCGCUAUGGACAAGUCCCUUGGAACAGGGCAUCGUAGAGGGUGAAAAUCCCGUACUUGCCAUGGAUGUACCAUGCUUUGUGAUACACGCUCUAAGAGUCGAGUUGUUUGGGAUUGCAGCUCAAAAUGGGUGGUAGACUCCAUCUAAAGCUAAAUAUCGGGGAGAGACCGAUAGCGAACAAGUACCGUGAGGGAAAGAUGAAAAGCACUUUGGAAAGAGAGUUAAAAGUACGUGAAAUUGUCGAAAGGGAAGCGCUUGAAGUCAGCCAUGCUGCUUGAGACUCAGCCUUGCUUUUGCUUGGUGUAUUUCUCGGUAGCAAGCCAGCAUUGGUUUGAGUCGUCGGAGAAGGGUACGAGAAAUGUGGCAUCCUCGGAUGUGUUAUAGACUUGUACUGGAUACGACGAUUUGGAUCAAGGAACGCAGUGUGCCUCUGGCGGGUCUUCGGACACCUUCACACUUAGGAUGCUGGCGUAAU
This 580-nucleotide ribosomal RNA is filed under the name Malassezia pachydermatis. RNAcentral's name for it is "eukaryotic LSU rRNA". It matches the Rfam family "Eukaryotic large subunit ribosomal RNA", at positions 66 to 635 of the family's 3401-position model. Lineage: Eukaryota; Fungi; Basidiomycota; Malasseziomycetes; Malasseziales; Malasseziaceae. The record is from RNAcentral.